UACGUAGGGGGCAAGCGUUGUCCGGAUUUAUUGGGCGUAAAGAGCGUGUAGGCGGCUAGGUAGGUCCGUUGUGAAAACUCGAGGCUCAACCUCGAGACGUCGAUGGAAACCAUCUAGCUAGAGUCCGGAAGAGGAGAGUGGAAUUCCUGGUGUAGCGGUGAAAUGCGCAGAUAUCAGGAAGAACACCCGUGGCGAAGGCGGCUCUCAGGUACGUGACUGACGCUGAGACGCGAAAGCGUGGGGAGCGAACAGG
This 253-nucleotide ribosomal RNA is filed under the name uncultured bacterium. RNAcentral's name for it is "partial 16S ribosomal RNA". It matches the Rfam family "Bacterial small subunit ribosomal RNA", at positions 524 to 776 of the family's 1533-position model. The record is from RNAcentral.